This 521-nucleotide ribosomal RNA is filed under the name uncultured bacterium. RNAcentral describes it as "partial 16S ribosomal RNA". It matches the Rfam family "Bacterial small subunit ribosomal RNA", at positions 28 to 523 of the family's 1533-position model. The record is from RNAcentral.
GACGAACGCUGGCGGCGUGCCUAAUACAUGCAAGUCGAGCGGGCCUCCGGAGGUGCUUGCACCUCCGGAAGGCCAGCGGCGGACGGGUGAGUAACACGUGGGCAACCUGCCUUUGAGGCCGGGAUAACACCGGGAAACCGGUGCUAAUACCGGAUACGUCCUCUUUCGCGCCUGCGAGAGGGGAGAAAGACGGUCUUUAAGGCCGUCGCUCAAAGAGGGGCCCGCGGCGCAUUAGCUGGUUGGUGGGGUAAGGGCCUACCAAGGCGACGAUGCGUUGCCGACCUGAGAGGGUGAUCGGCCACACGGGGACUGAGACACGGCCCAGACUCCUGCGGGAGGCAGCAGUAGGGAAUCAUCCGCAAUGGGCGAAAGCCUGACGGUGCAACGCCGCGUGAGUGAGGAAGGUUUUCGGAUCGUAAAGCUCUGUUGUGAGGGAAGAACAGCUUCCGGAGGAAAUGCCGGAGGUUUGCCGGUACCUCACCAGAAAGCCCCGGCUAACUACGUGCCAGCCGCCGCAGUAA